Molecule: ribosomal RNA, 497 nt
Filed under: uncultured bacterium
Lineage: Bacteria
Description: partial 16S ribosomal RNA
Rfam family: Bacterial small subunit ribosomal RNA
Source: RNAcentral
GAUGAACGCUGGCGGCGUGCCUAAUACAUGCAAGUCGAGCGAACAGAUAAGGAGCUUGCUCCUUUGACGUUAGCGGCGGACGGGUGAGUAACACGUGGGUAACCUACCUAUAAGACUGGAAUAACUCCGGGAAACCGGGGCUAAUGCCGGAUAACAUUUAGAACCGCAUGGUUCUAAAGUGAAAGAUGGUUUUGCUAUCACUGAUAGAUGGACCCGCGCCGUAUUAGCUAGUUGGUAAGGUAACGGCUUACCAAGGCAACGAUACGUAGCCGACCUGCGAGGGUGAUAGGCCACACUGGAACUGAGACACGGUCCAGACUCCUACGGGAGGCAGCAGUAGGGAAUCUGCCGCAAUGGGCGAAAGCCUGACGGAGCAACGCCGCGUGAGUGAUGAAGGUCUUCGGAUCGUAAAACUCUGUUAUUAGGGAAGAACAAAUGUGUAAGUAACUGUGCACGUCUUGACGGUACCUAAUCAGAAAGCCACGGCUAACUACGUG